This 495-nucleotide ribosomal RNA is filed under the name uncultured bacterium. RNAcentral's name for it is "partial 16S ribosomal RNA". It matches the Rfam family "Bacterial small subunit ribosomal RNA", at positions 28 to 507 of the family's 1533-position model. The record is from RNAcentral.
GACGAACGCUGGCGGCGUGCCUAAUACAUGCAAGUAGAACGCUGAAGGAGGAGCUUGCUUCUCCGGAUGAGUUGCGAACGGGUGAGUAGCGCGUAGGUAACCUGCCUGGUAGCGGGGGAUAACUAUUGGAAACGAUAGCUAAUACCGCAUAACAGUAGAUGUUGCAUGACAUUUGCUUAAAAGGUGCAAUUGCAUCACUACCAGAUGGACCUGCGUUGUAUUAGCUAGUUGGUGAGGUAACGGCUCACCAAGGCGACGAUACAUAGCCGACCUGAGAGGGUGAUCGGCCACACUGGGACUGAGACACGGCCCAGACUCCUACGGGAGGCAGCAGUAGGGAAUCUUCGGCAAUGGACGGAAGUCUGACCGAGCAACGCCGCGUGAGUGAAGAAGGUUUUCGGAUCGUAAAGCUCUGUUGUAAGAGAAGAACGAGUGUGAGAGUGGAAAGUUCACACUGUGACGGUAUCUUACCAGAAAGGGACGGCUAACUACGUG